Bos taurus (domestic cattle) is the source of this 1533-nucleotide long non-coding RNA. The record is from Ensembl. NCBI's taxonomy places the organism in Eukaryota, Metazoa, Chordata, Mammalia, Artiodactyla, Bovidae.
AUACAGGCAGCAUUCACAAUCAGGGUGAUGCAUCAAAGAUCCAAAGAUGUUUCCAGGCAUGAGUUACAAGGCCUCUAAAGACAAUGACUUUUAUAGGGUUUUAGAUUACGGUGAUGUUCUGUAAAUCCUGCUCCAGUCACACAAUAGGCCAAGAGCAAUUAGUGUUAAUUAAACUAUCCCCAUAAAGAGGUUGCUGCUCUGACACAUUGAUAUCCCGUAAAUACACUGAGCCUGCGAACAUUCUCAAGGGCUUGCCUUCCACAUCACCAAGGGCCCUGGACCCUCCCGCCCCGGGACUGCUCACACCUGAGUGUAACACCACUCAGCCAGAACCCAGCCCUGGGGCCCACCACUCGGCUCGCUGAACCACCUGGGGAUCCUACUAAAACGAGAUUCUGAUUCGGGAAGUCUGGGGUAGGGCUUGAAAUUCUGCAGAUGGAUCAAGCUCCCUGGUGGUGCUGAAGCUGCUGCCCUCCAGACAUCACUCAGAGAAGGAACAUGGUUGUACAGAAGCCCUCUGCAGUCCGAGGGAUGAUGGCCCAGGUUAGGGGCAGGGAGAGCAAGUCACGCCAUCCUGUGUACUCCUAACGCUCUGGCCUUCCUGCCCUGCUUUAUAGCCAGAGAACUAUGGACGAGGAGAAAUAAGCAAGCAGUAUACCAUGCAGACGCCAAAGUGACCCUCAGAGUCACCCCAGAUGCUGGAAGCCUCACCUUCUAUGGAGAGGAGCAGAGAUUAAAAAAAGAAAAAGAACCAGCCUCUGAGAAAGAUGAGCCCAGCAGUAUCUCCACCCCUGGGUUCUCUGUAUCCUGCACCUGCCUGGUAGAUGGAGCCCCCAGGGAUGCCCCGGGCCACGAGUGACGUGCGGCUUUUCCAGAGAUGGAAGGAUUGGGGACCAGGGUAUGCGGGUUCAAUCCCUGGUCGGAGAGCUAAGAUCCCACGUGCCUUGGAGCCAAAAAACCAGAAGAUAAAAUAAAAGCAAUAUUGUAACAAACUCAAUAAAGAUUUUUUAAAUGGUCCACAUCAAAAAAAAAAUCUAAAAAGAAAACAGUCAUAAGAGCUGUGAGGGGAGAGCCUCCCGGAGACACCUCCCUUACACAGAGAGCGCUUAGAUUCCUUAGAGACUGGAGUCCUCUGACCAAAAAAUUUGCCCUUGCAUCUGCGGCCUUUCCUUUUUCUUCUCUCUGACACCCUUCCUCUGUAGCAUUUUCAGUGCAGCUCCAGCCAAGUCUGCUAUUUAUAAAGCAGGAGCAAUUUUACCACAGGGCGUGGUGUUUAAUUUGAAGAGACGUCAAAGAGUGAGGGGCAGAUGGCUGAGCCAGCCGAGCCUCUCGGUGACCUUGAUGGGACACCCAAGCCCACACGUUCAUCCUGAACUUCCUCCAACAGAUCCUGAGUUGAUCAAGCUCUGGGGAAGAAAGGAUGAAUUGAUAAUCCAGGUGCCUGCUUAUUAAUUUCUAGUGUAUCUAUGGAUAGCUUCUGAAUGACACCAGUUCAGAUGAUCCAUUCUAGAAAAUUGUUCGAGAGAUUUGCAA